Molecule: ribosomal RNA, 1445 nt
Filed under: uncultured organism
Description: SSU rRNA
Rfam family: Bacterial small subunit ribosomal RNA
Source: RNAcentral
CUACAGGCUUAACACAUGCAAGUCGAGGGGCAGCAUGGUCUUAGCUUGCUAAGGCCGAUGGCGACCGGCGCACGGGUGAGUAACACGUAUCCAACCUGCCGUCUACUCUUGGACAGCCUUCUGAAAGGAAGAUUAAUACAAGAUGGCAUCAUGAGUCCGCAUGUUCACAUGAUUAAAGGUAUUCCGGUAGACGAUGGGGAUGCGUUCCAUUAGAUAGUAGGCGGGGUAACGGCCCACCUAGUCUUCGAUGGAUAGGGGUUCUGAGAGGAAGGUCCCCCACAUUGGAACUGAGACACGGUCCAAACUCCUACGGGAGGCAGCAGUGAGGAAUAUUGGUCAAUGGGCGAGAGCCUGAACCAGCCAAGUAGCGUGAAGGAUGACUGCCCUAUGGGUUGUAAACUUCUUUUAUAAAGGAAUAAAGUCGGGUAUGGAUACCCGUUUGCAUGUACUUUAUGAAUAAGGAUCGGCUAACUCCGUGCCAGCAGCCGCGGUAAUACGGAGGAUCCGAGCGUUAUCCGGAUUUAUUGGGUUUAAAGGGAGCGUAGAUGGAUGUUUAAGUCAGUUGUGAAAGUUUGCGGCUCAACCGUAAAAUUGCAGUUGAUACUGGAUAUCUUGAGUGCAGUUGAGGCAGGCGGAAUUCGUGGUGUAGCGGUGAAAUGCUUAGAUAUCACGAAGAACUCCGAUUGCGAAGGCAGCCUGCUAAGCUGCAACUGACAUUGAGGCUCGAAAGUGUGGGUAUCAAACAGGAUUAGAUACCCUGGUAGUCCACACGGUAAACGAUGAAUACUCGCUGUUUGCGAUAUACGGCAAGCGGCCAAGCGAAAGCGUUAAGUAUUCCACCUGGGGAGUACGCCGGCAACGGUGAAACUCAAAGGAAUUGACGGGGGCCCGCACAAGCGGAGGAACAUGUGGUUUAAUUCGAUGAUACGCGAGGAACCUUACCCGGGCUUAAAUUGCAGAUGAAUUACGGUGAAAGCCGUAAGCCGCAAGGCAUCUGUGAAGGUGCUGCAUGGUUGUCGUCAGCUCGUGCCGUGAGGUGUCGGCUUAAGUGCCAUAACGAGCGCAACCCUUGUUGUCAGUUACUAACAGGUUCCGCUGAGGACUCUGACAAGACUGCCAUCGUAAGAUGUGAGGAAGGUGGGGAUGACGUCAAAUCAGCACGGCCCUUACGUCCGGGGCUACACACGUGUUACAAUGGGGGGUACAGAGGGCCGCUACCACGCGAGUGGAUGCCAAUCCCCAAAACCUCUCUCAGUUCGGACUGGAGUCUGCAACCCGACUCCACGAAGCUGGAUUCGCUAGUAAUCGCGCAUCAGCCACGGCGCGGUGAAUACGUUCCCGGGCCUUGUACACACCGCCCGUCAAGCCAUGGGAGCCGGGGGUACCUGAAGUGCAUAACCGCGAGGAGCGCCCUAGGGUAAAACUGGUGACUGGGGCUAAGUCGU